GAGUGCAGAAGAGGAGAGCGGAAUUCCACGUGUAGCGGUGAAAUGCGUAGAGAUGUGGAGGAACACCAGUGGCGAAGGCGGCUCUCUGGUCUGUAACUGACGCUGAGGCGCGAAAGCGUGGGGAGCGAACAGGAUUAGAUACCCUGGUAGUCCACGCCGUAAACGAUGAGUGCUAAGUGUUAGAGGGUUUCCGCCCUUUAGUGCUGCAGCAAACGCAUUAAGCACUCCGCCUGGGGAGUACGGCCGCAAGGCUGAAACUCAAAGGAAUUGACGGGGGCCCGCACAAGCGGUGGAGCAUGUGGUUUAAUUUGAAGCAACGCGAAGAACCUUACCAGGUCUUGACAUCCUCUGACAACCCUAGAGAUAGGGCGUUCCCCUUCGGGGGACAGAGUGACAGGUGGUGCAUGGUUGUCGUCAGCUCGUGUCGUGAGAUGUUGGGUUAAGUCCCGCAACGAGCGCAACCCUUGAUUUUAGUUGCCAGCAUUCAGUUGGGCACUCUAAGGUGACUGCCGGUGACAAACCGGAGGAAGGUGGGGAUGACGUCAAAUCAUCAUGCCCCUUAUGACCUGGGCUACACACGUGCUACAAUGGAUGGAACAAAGGGCCGCAAAACCGCGAGGUCGAGCCAAUCCCAUAAAUCCAUUCUCAGUUCGGAUUGACAGGCUGCAACUCGCCUGCAUGAAGCCGGAAUCGCUAGUAAUCGCGGAU
This 708-nucleotide ribosomal RNA is filed under the name Mesobacillus jeotgali. RNAcentral's name for it is "bacterial SSU rRNA". It matches the Rfam family "Bacterial small subunit ribosomal RNA", at positions 644 to 1349 of the family's 1533-position model. Lineage: Bacteria; Bacillati; Bacillota; Bacilli; Caryophanales; Bacillaceae. The record is from RNAcentral.